RNAcentral lists this long non-coding RNA (258 nucleotides) under Elaeis guineensis (African oil palm). RNAcentral describes it as "long non-coding RNA (EGUI_LNC005600)". The record is from RNAcentral. Lineage: Eukaryota; Viridiplantae; Streptophyta; Magnoliopsida; Arecales; Arecaceae.
AAAAAAAAAGAGUGAUAAGAGAAUUAAUUAAUGGAAGUAUUUGAUGACUUGGAACAUAUUUUGAAUUUAGGCCAAACUAAAUUAUGGGUGCAAGUUUUAUAGAAAACUCAGGUCCAAUGUAGGCCCAUAAGUAGACCAAAAAUGGGAAGAGAGAAAUUCUUUGUACACCGCUUACGGUGUCGAAAAUCUAACAUGGAGCGCACUGCUUCACUUUAUUAGACCAUGUAGCCAUCGCUUUCUAACGUGUAUUUAAUACCU